AAAGAAAGGCAGAGCCUGGGAACUAGUAUUUCUGCAGAAGCAGUGGUUUGAAACCCAUUGUAUGAAGACUGUUAGCCACACUGACUUUUAUUUAAAAGCAAAGAUUUCACCUUUUUUUCUUUUAAGGCGCUGGUACUGUUACAAUUUCUUCUGUUCUGAGUACAGCAGGAGCAAUCACCUUCAUGGACAUGGGCUGAAGCGGCCACCCAACAGAACCAAAGGAGAGCGCAUACACAACCUGCAGAGCAUGGACAUGGUUGUCAGGCAAAUUUCCAUUACUUCAGCCUUGAGUUUGCAAUCUUAUCAGAUUUCAGAUUCUGCAGAACUGAGUUCCUUAAUGGGUCUUACAUUUGUAAUGUUUAAUUUUUACAAGUUCCCAGCUGCCGUGAAGAAGCCUCUGCAGUACUAGGGGAGGAAAAAAGUUGCUGUCCAAGGAUUGCAUAGCUACAGCUAAUAGGAGAGCAACAGCAAGGCAAAAUAAGAAAGGAGAGAGGAGAGACACAGACUGCUGCUGCAGACGUUUGUCUGUAUAUUACUCAUUGUGGCUGCUGGUCUACUUGGCCCUGUGAUCAACUGAAGAAAUCCAGAGAAAAAGUACGGAAAGCAUUAUGCAGCAGAAAGUGCACAAAGAAGAUCCAAUUCACAUCAAUCUAGACAAGCAGUAUUUCUGAAAGGCUCUGGAAUUUCUUUUCUGGAGUCCACAAAACAAAAAGGAUGAGAAGCACAAGUACUCUCUUCUGAUUAUACAUAUAUCUUCUCAAAAAAAAAAAAAAAAACAACAAACAAGUGCCUGAAGAUUUUAUCGAAAAUUAAAUCAACUUUCUACAGCAGAAAACGAGACACUCUUGGUUUUGUAGCACUGCACCAAACCGUUAACCCUAAACAGAGAAAUAGUGAUUAAUUAGCAAUACUUAUGCUAAUAAGUGUACAUCAUCACAAAUACAGUAUCUGCUAAGUAUCUGUUUACUUAGUGCAGCAAAACAUCUGGAAGUCAUUACUUAAUUCCUUUUCAUCAUCCAUGAAAUAUAUCACCACUAUGUAGGAGAAGAGAACACUGCUUGAAUUUAGUGAAAGGACAACGACGCAACAAGAUGAAAAUAAAAUAUGCCUCUAGGGAUCAGGAGACGGAAGAAGAGUGCAGGAAAGAAAUACAAAAUAAGUGAUCAUGGCUAUUUUGUGCACCAGACAAAUGGACUCUUCUUUCAUUCAAUUUAUUACAUCUAAUUAUCAAAAUAAUCUUUUUUUAAGCCACAGAAACUGCUACAAAAUAUCAUUAAAUAUCAUCUCUGAAACAUCAUUAAGUAUCAACCACAAGUAUCUACAACAUAAAAGCUUUAUAUCACAUCUUCCACAUGACAGACUUUGUCUUACAAGAGAAAACAAAAAACAACUGUAUAUUCAUAAAUCUGUUGUAUGCCCUUCGAGUGAUGCAAGUUUUUAUGACUACAAGGGUCUGCAAACUUAGCGAUUCUCAUUUAUUUUACUUAAUUCUUAAAAAAAAAAAAAAGUCCUCGAAGGUGUCACUCUAAUCCUGAAACACCUUUUCCCAGAUGAAGUUAAGGGUCAUGAUAUCAACAAAGUAUUGGGUAACAACGAGUAACUUGAGAGUAAACUGAGAUUUAAUUUUUCAAAGACCCAUAAAUGUGAAAAAUAGGGUAAACCCUUCUAAAAAUGACAGCAACUACCCUGCAAGAAGAAAAAUAAAAUUCAGUGAAUUAGGAUUACUGAAUUCAACUUAUUAAAUAUAUAUUUUUUCUUAUCAAAUGUGGUAUAAAAUAUCAAAUCUAAAUGAACGUAGUGGUUGUCCUGGUGUCAGUUGGGACAGAGUUAAUUUUCUUCCUAGUAGCUGGUAUGGUGCUGUGUUUUGGAUUUAAGGAUGAAAACAUUGUUGGUAAUUUGCUGAUGUUUUAGUUGUUGCAGUGCAGUGCUUACACAGAGCCAAGGACAUUCAGCUUCUCAUGCUGCCCUGCCAGUGAGGGGGCUGAGAGUGUACCAGGAGCUGGAAGAGGACACAGCCAGGACAGGUGACCCAGACAGGCCAAAGGGACAUCCUUUGUUUUAUUUUUGUUUUAUUGUUUUUACAGUGGUGUGCUGAACAAUAAAACUGGGAGGAGUUGUCCAAGGUGUGCAUGGGGCUGUUACUCAGGAACUGGUUGGACAUCAGUAGGCUGGUGGUGAGCAAUUGUGUUGUGCAUCACUUGUUUCCUUGUUUUUUGUUUUUGUUUUUCAUUUCUUUUUUUUUCCUUAUUAAACCAUCUUUUUCUCAACCUAUGAGUUUCUGCACUUACACACUUUCAAUUCUCUCCUCUGUCCCCCUGUGGAGGGUGGUAAGGAACAGCUGUGGGUUGCUUAGCUUCCUGCUGGGUUAAACCACAACAGUGGCACUAAACUUGAAUUCUGGGAAACUGCACAAUAAAAAACAGCAUACAAAUCCCUAGAAAGAACUGGAAACAGCAACUGAAAAAGAAACAUAGCUUUCAUGAGCUCAUUGCCCUGUAAAAUGCCUAGAGAAAUUCACAAGUUCACUCAAAAUUAUCUAACACAAUGGUUCAUUAUGUCAGGUAGUCACAUCCUUAGAAAUCCCAUGCAUAGGCUACCAAAGAAAUACAGGCUAUGUUAACCAAUAACUUGGAAUCCAGCAGUGGCAGGCCUGACUGCAGGCAGAGGUCAAGCAAACCACUACCUUACAACCUCUAAAAAAAAAAAUAAAUCAUGCAUUCAACAAAAACUCAACACAGCUCAUCAACACCUUGUUCUACACAAAAGCCAGAAUUCACAUCCCAAGACAGAAAUAGCAUAACAGAAAAUGAAUUUUAUUUGUUGCUGGCAUAAAGGGAAGAAAAGUAGAUUGAAAAUGAAAAUUGCUGUCUCUUACCCAGCCAGUAAAUGGCAGUAUUCCUGGACCAGCCUCCUCUAACUGUGCUGAAUCUGCUGUCUCUAAACAAAGAUCCGACAAGUUUUCAUGGAUUUGUAUGGAAGCCAGUCACUUUCAUGGCACCUUAAUACGAGAUAACUCUAAAUACAAAGUUCCUUCAUCUUCACUGUUUCUACAUCCAUGUAUACCUAAGCAGUGCCUCUAUACAUGGUCUUCCUCAAUACAGAGGUCACCUCACUAUCUGUAGAGCACCACUGUCUCCUUCCUCUUUCCUCAGAUGGUGUGUAGAUAUUUAAAGACAAUGAAGAUUUGAAGUACUCUAUCCAGGAAUUUAAGCUCCUGGAAAAUGACUAUCCACUUCACCCCUACUACAAAGUAAGGGGGGAAAAAAAUUAAAAACACCUUAUGCACCAUAUAAAGAAAUACAGUAAAACUUGUAGCAAAUGAGAAGUUUUUACAGCAAAAUGCUGCAGAACACUUAUGAACACAUUGCAGCUACACAGCAUGUCAUGUUUUCCUCUGCAUCUGUACCAAUUAAUUUGCCUGUAACACAUUAAAAACUCUGAAGAUACCACGUAUGCUCAAAUCAUAUUUAUUUCAAUUCUUUUGAGGUUUCCUGCUUGAAUAUAGAUGUUUCUGGAAGAGAAGAUAGACAGGUAGCUUCUAGGUAGAGCUGGAACGAAGACACAAGGGCUGAGCAGGCACAGCACCUUUUGCUGGCUUCAAGGCUGAGGAAAUGCACGGCUCACAGGCAGGUACCAGAGAUGUCACUGAUUGAUUUAGGGCAAAGAAGCCUAACUCACUUCUAUGUGGCUGGCCUCUAAAGCAAACGUUUCCUUACUGGCUGAUGAGCAUCCCAGAAGACACAUUUCUCACUAUUAUAAAGGGUUUGCAUGCUACUUAAUCAAGCUGGGCAGCCAAUAAGCAUACAUAUGCUAAUUAAGCAUGUAGGUAAUAGAAACAAAAAAGCUUCUUCCCAGUUGGUAUCUAAUCAAGUAUCAAACAUUUUGUCUACACACAUAGCUAACUGUCAGCCUAUGAACUACACAGUGUUAUUUAACUUGGGAGGGCAAUCACCAAAGUGGGUGCAGGCAGCAGCCUGUAAGUGAGGAGGGAAUUAGGGAGACACAAGGGUGGCUAUGGUAAGAAAGAUGAGGCAUGAGAUGCUCAAGAAUUACUAACAGAAAGAAGGGAAAGGCUGCAAAUGCAGUAGGAAGGGGAGAAUACAGCCUUACAGAACCUUUCAUGGCCUAUCCACUUAAUUAGAAAUUAUUUACACACAGGAAAAAUAUGUAGGCAAAAUACUUCCCAAGGAUGUUGUAAAUAUUCUGAGACAUGCAUUAUACAUUGGGGAACUGGAGAUACAUUUAUGAGCACAGUCAGAUUUCAAAUAGCAUACUUAACACACACAAACACACACACAAAAAAACUUUGCAACUGCACUGUAGCAAAGUCAGUAUCUAUAACAGCAUCAUGAAGUGAUGCACCUUAUUAUAAGGUCCAAGUGGGUUUCAAGAUUGGUUUUACUUUUUUUUUUUUUCUCCUUAGUAUCUUCUCACCAUAUUAUGUACUUAUUUCUAUAUGAAGAUAACCAGUAUGGUAAAUCAGAAUUGUCCAGAUACACGCCAAACAGUGCGUCAAAUGCUUGCCGUGACUUUACCAGGAACUCAGGCAGCAAGACUUGGUGGUCUCUCAGAAGUACCUACAGGAUAGACCAGAAUGCCUAGAGACAACCUGCCUGCUGCUUUGGGUGCAGUAUAAAUAGCAUCAGAAAUUUAUAACCUGGCAAGGAUGCCAGGCAGCAGUACCAGUUCCUAUGCUGCUGUGGCACCCAGCACUGCCUGUCCCUGGAUGCUCCUAAGUGAAUACGUGCUCCAGCUCACCUGCAUCAGUGGGCAACACUGCAAGGGCACAGAUGGACACUGUGGCUCUUCAUGAGCACACUUCUCUCUCUAUGAUUGAGAGAUUUUAAACAAGAAUUUUCUGUCCAAAAGUUCAGGAUAACAAUUGGAUAAUGGUUCUACAAAAGCACCUUCUUGAAAAGACACUGCUCGGGCUAAAUGAAAAAAUAAACUAGAUCUACAUGUCAAUAAUUUCAGCAAGAUAAAAAUAACCCAAGAGGAUCAACUGAAAGCAUAGAUAAACAAGGGACUGAUGCUUUAAAUGUCACAGAUUUGUCACAAAAGUACAUGCUCUUCAAGAAACUCACUGGAGCAGUUCUUGUUUUUCCCUUAUUUAACUUACAGAACUCCAGGAAAUAAAAUUUCAUGGGACGACUUUCAACAAAGAAGUCCAUUUUUGACAGAACUCCUAAUGAAAUAACUAUAUUAAACUUUACCACUCACAUAUGAAAACACAUUCUAACUUCUGUGUUGUUUUUUUUGUUUGGUUGGUUGGUUUUGUAUUGCUCUUCCAGAAUGCAACAACUAAAUGUUGUGGUUUUUUUUUUCCUAAACUUCUCCAUUGUUCUUAAUUCUACAGCGGAUUUCUCACAAGAUUUUAAUAAAACUUUGUAUUGAACUUAUUACAUAGCAUGACAAUAUACAACCUAUAGUUAGACACGUGAGAAAGGGUUUAUCUCAUAUCUGGAAAUAAUCUAGUUAAUGAUAACAAAAGCCUUAACAAGAGAAGCAAGACAAUUAAUGGAAAUUCUCCCCUGGUAACAGAACAGUGUGCUUUGGACUUGGGUGUUUCAACCAGUACAACCACUCAACAUUGGGAAUGACUCAACUGUCUCUAAGGAGCAUGACAUCUGUGAUUAUUAUUGAUAAAUACGUUCUUGUCUUGGGCUGAGCGCAUAAUUUAUUUCAAGAGAAGUGAAAAAUCUUCUUUAAAAUUAAAUUAUAUCAGUCUCCACUCUGUGGGUUGAGCAUUGUAUGCACGUAUGCACUCCCAGAGGACACACUGUACUAGGUACCCAACUGAAUGUCCCAAUAAAAAAUUAAACGAGGACAUAUGUGCUUAACGGAUUGGGCCCAGGGAUACGUUUCCUUACACUAGAAUAAGGUAGAAUGUCUUUCUUAUUCUAUCGCUGCUUAUUAGUAGCAAGGAUGUAUUAAAAAUAAAUGCUUAUAUAAAGAAAAGCCAAGUAUUUAUCAUCUGUUCAACACUAUGUCAAAACUCCGUCUUUUCCCUCAAACAAGAGAAAUAAGUUUUAAAAUAAAAUAUUGAAGAGGAAACUGUUCCUAUCAAUAUUGUACUUCUGGUAAUAAAGCCUGAGAUUAACAAAAUCGAUUUAGAAGCCCA
This is a non-coding RNA of Anas platyrhynchos (mallard), 6121 nucleotides long. NCBI's taxonomy places the organism in Eukaryota, Metazoa, Chordata, Aves, Anseriformes, Anatidae. The record is from RefSeq and is a predicted model, not a curated record.